Molecule: long non-coding RNA, 1177 nt
Filed under: Anas platyrhynchos platyrhynchos (common mallard)
Lineage: Eukaryota; Metazoa; Chordata; Aves; Anseriformes; Anatidae
Description: lncRNA (ENSAPLG00000024562.1)
Source: RNAcentral
CAAAAUUUACGGUGACAGAAGGAAAAGUGCCACCAAAACCUCAUCCCUGGAUAUGGGGAAAGCGGACUUCAGGCUGCUCAGGGAACUAGUCAGCAAGGUCCCCUGGGAAACUGCUCUUGAAGGCCUCGAUGUCCACCAGUGCUGGUCAUUCUUUAAGCGAUGCCUCCUAGAAGCACAAGAUCAGGCAAUUCCUAAAUAUCGCAAGUCAGGCAGGCGGGGCAGGAGGCCUGCGUGGCUGACCAGGAACAUUCUAAUGGAGAUUAGGCGGAAACAGAGAGUGUUUCGCUACUGGAAGGAGGGCCAGGUAUCAUGGAAAGAAUACAGGGAUGCUGUUCGUGUUUGUAGGGAGAAAAUUCGUGUGGCUAAAGCACACCUAGAGUUGAAGCUGGCUGUGUCUGUGAGAGAAAAUAAAAAGGGUUUUUUUAGAUAUGUGAAUGGAAAAAGGAGAACUAAAGAAUACAUAGGGCCGCUCCUUGAUGGGGAAGGUCUCCUCGCAGACAAUGACAUAGGCAAAGCAGAGACGCUUAACGCCUUCUUUGCCUCUGUCUUCAAUGCCGAUGAUGGGCUUCGGGACCCAGGGUGCCCUGAGCUGGAGGACCAGGACGGUGGGGAUGACAAACUCCCAACUGACCCUGAACGUGUGCGGGAUUUGCUACUCCACCUGGAUCCCUACAAGUCCAUGGGUCCGGAUGGGAUUCAUCCCCGGGUGCUGAAAGACCUGGCGGAUGUCAUUGCAGAACCUCUCUCAAUUAUUUUUCAACGAUCCUGGGAAUCUGGAGAGGUCCCGGUAGACUGGAAGCUGGCAAAUGUUGUGCCGAUUUUCAAGAAGGGUCAGAAAGAAGACCCUAGCAAUUACAGGCCUGUCAGUCUCACGUCAGUGCCUGGUAAAAUCAUGGAGAAGAUGGUUCUCGAACUUAUUGAGGCGCACCUGGGGGACAAAGCAGUCAUUGGUCCCAGCCAGCAUGGGUUUGUGAAGGGUAGGUCCUGCCUAACUAACCUGAUUUCCUUUUAUGAUAAGAUCACCCGUAUGGUGGACCAAGGGAAACCAGCUGAUGUGAUUUUUUUGGACUUCAGCAAGGCUUUUGACACGGUUUCCCAUAGGAUCCUACUGGACAAAAUGUCCACCAUACAGCUAAAUAAAAACAUCAUACGAUGGGUGAGCAAUUGGCUAACGGGC